Molecule: ribosomal RNA, 253 nt
Filed under: uncultured bacterium
Lineage: Bacteria
Description: partial 16S ribosomal RNA
Rfam family: Bacterial small subunit ribosomal RNA
Source: RNAcentral
UACGAAGGGUGCAAGCGUUACUCGGAAUUACUGGGCGUAAAGCGCGCGUAGGCGGCUUUGCAAGUGCGGCGUGAAAGUCCUGGGCUCAACCUGGGGACGGCGCUGCGGACUGCAUGGCUGGAGUCCGGAAGAGGGUGGUGGAAUUCCGAGUGUAGAGGUGAAAUUCGUAGAUAUCCGGAGGAACACCAGUGGCGAAGGCGGCUUUCUGGACACUAACUGACGCUGAGAUGCGAAAGCGUGGGGAGCAAACAGG